Pelobates cultripes (western spadefoot toad) is the source of this 167-nucleotide non-coding RNA. NCBI's taxonomy places the organism in Eukaryota, Metazoa, Chordata, Amphibia, Anura, Pelobatidae. The record is from the annotation of a GenBank genome assembly.
UGUGUGUGUCUGUAUGUAUGUGUCUGUGUCUCUGUAUGUAUGUGUCUGUAUGAUACAGACACAUACAUACAGAGACAUACAUACACAUACAGACACAGACAUACUGUGUAUCAAACAUUAUUUUUGAUUGCAGCAACCUUUGUUGGUAUGCCCCCACAUAUAUAUAU